AGGCUGAAACAACAGGCUUUGAUCACUUCAAAAUCAAGAUGAACAUAGAAAAGGAGCGAUUUUCAUUUGUUCUGGUUGAUAUAGAACCUGAACCAACAAUGAAAAGAUGGAUAGUGGGGGAAGAAUGAAAGAUUUUGCAACUUACUUUCAGAUGGUAAAAGAAUUCAGCAUUAUGUGAGGGAGAAUGCUCGGCAUGACCCAGUUCUCAUCCUCCCCUGCAUAACUUUCUCUCCUGAAAGCACCGAUUGAUUUCAAAGAGAACGCUGCAGAGAUCGUCUGCCAUGUGAAGAGAAUUACAAUUGGACCCAAAGGUUUGACCUCCAGCCUGCUUCUGUGUAAGAAUCAAUCAGUAACCAAUUUAGGUGAACUGGAUUUUCCAUCUUGUGGGCCCUGGUUCCUGGUUUCUUUUGCAACCAGAGUCUUGAAUCUGAGCAACUGUUCACUCUGGCCUCUGACCAGGAUCAGCAGAACUUAAGUCUACUCCAGCAGAAUGAGUGACCUAGGGACUUCUACGAAAAAAGGAUGUCAUAAAAAACUUUGUGAAAAAUGAAAUUUCUCUGCUUCUACUCUUAAAGUCUGUUCAUUUUGGAAACUAGGAAUUUUCUAGUAAAAAGAAAUUAAUGAAUAAAAUCAGCAAUUUCUAAUCUAUAUUUGUA
Equus asinus (donkey) is the source of this 656-nucleotide long non-coding RNA. The record is from Ensembl. Lineage: Eukaryota; Metazoa; Chordata; Mammalia; Perissodactyla; Equidae.